Molecule: ribosomal RNA, 456 nt
Filed under: uncultured bacterium
Lineage: Bacteria
Description: SSU rRNA
Rfam family: Bacterial small subunit ribosomal RNA
Source: RNAcentral
AGGAUGAACGCUGGCGGCGUGCCUAAUACAUGCAAGUCGAGCGGUAAGGCCCCUUCGGGGGUACACGAGCGGCGGACGGCUGAGUAACACGUAGGAACGUACCCCAAAGUGAGGGAUAAGCACCAGAAAUGGUGUCUAAUACCGCAUGUGCUCUUCGGAGGAAAGCUUCGGCGCUUUGGGAACGGCCUGCGCAUGAUUAGCUUGUUGGUGAGGUAAUGGCUCACCAAGGCGACGAUCAUUAGCUGGUCUGAGAGGAUGAUCAGCCAGACUGGGACUGAGAACGGCCCAGACUCCUACGGGAGGCAGCAGUAGGGAAUUUUCCACAAUGGGCGAAAGCCUGAUGGAGCAACGCCGCGUGCAGGAUGAAUGCCUUCGGGUUGUAAACUGUCUUUUAUAUGUGACGAAUAUGACGGUAGCAUAUGAAUAAGGAUCGGCUAACUCCGUGCCAGCAGCCGC